RNAcentral lists this ribosomal RNA (216 nucleotides) under Glomeromycotina sp. RNAcentral describes it as "partial small subunit ribosomal RNA". The stretch from base 40 to 216 matches the Rfam family "Eukaryotic small subunit ribosomal RNA", at positions 686 to 864 of the family's 1831-position model. Lineage: Eukaryota; Fungi; Glomeromycota. The record is from RNAcentral.
GGGUCAGUAGGUUGGUCGUGCCACCGGUACGUACUGGUCUCACUGAUUCCUCCUUCCUGAAGAACCGUAAUGCCAUUAAUUUGGUGUUGCGGGGAAACAGGACUGUUACUUUGAAAAAAUUAGAGUGUUUAAAGCAAGCUAACGCUUGAAUACAUUAGCAUGGAAUAAUGGAAUAGGACGAUCGAUCCUAUUUUGUUGGUUUCUAGGAUUGACGUG